AAUCAACGCUGGCGGCGUGCCUCAGACAUGCAAGUCGAACGCGAAAGUUCCCUUCGGGGAGCGAGUAGAGUGGCGCACGGGUGAGUAACACGUGGGUAAUUUGCCUUCGGGUGGGGAAUAACUCAGGGAAACUUGAGCUAAUACCGCAUAAUGCAGCGGCUCGACAUCGAGACAGUUGUUAAAGCGGGGGAGCAGCAAUGUCCUCGCGCCUGAAGAGAAGCCUGCGGCGGAUUAGCUAGUUGGUAGGGUAACGGCCUACCAAGGCGACGAUCUGUAA
RNAcentral lists this ribosomal RNA (277 nucleotides) under uncultured bacterium. RNAcentral's name for it is "partial 16S ribosomal RNA". It matches the Rfam family "Bacterial small subunit ribosomal RNA", at positions 32 to 286 of the family's 1533-position model. The record is from RNAcentral.